This 740-nucleotide long non-coding RNA is filed under the name Salmo salar (Atlantic salmon). RNAcentral's name for it is "lncRNA (ENSSSAG00000088588.1)". The record is from RNAcentral. Lineage: Eukaryota; Metazoa; Chordata; Actinopteri; Salmoniformes; Salmonidae.
CAACCCUGUUCCUGGAGAGAAACCCUCCUGUAGGUUUACACUCCAACCCUGUUCCUGGAGAGAUACCCUCCUGUAGGUUUACACUCCAACCCUGUUCCUGGAGAGAAACCCUCCUGUAGGUUUACACUCCAACCCUGUUCCUGGAGAGAAACCCUCCUGUAGGUUUUAACUCCAACCCUGUUCCUGGAGAGAUACCCUCCUGUAGGUUUACACUCCAACCCUGUUCCUGGAGAGAUACCCUCCUGUAGGUUUACACUCCAACCCUGUUCCUGGAGAGAUACCCUCCUGUAGGUUUACACUCCAACCCUGUUCCUGGAGAGAUACCCUCCUGUAGGUUUACACUCCAACCCUGUUCCUGGAGAGAUACCCUCCUGUAGGUUUUAACUCCAACCCUGUUCCUGGAGAGAUGCCCUCCUGUAGGUUUAUACUCCAACCCUGUUCCUGGAGAGAAACCCUCCUGUAGGUUUAUACUCCAACCCUGUUCCUGGAGAGAUACCCUCCUGUAGGUUUUAACUCCAACCCUGUUCCUGGAGAGAUACCCUCCUGUAGGUUUUAACUCCAACCCUGUUCCUGGAGAGAUACCCUCCUGUAGGUUUUAACUCCAACCCUGUUCCUGGAGAGAUACCCUCCUGUAGGUUUACACUCCAACCCUGUUCCUGGAGAGAUACCCUCCUGUAGGUUUACACUCCAACCCCAGUUGUAACUAACCUGAUUCAGCUUAUCAACCAGCUAAUUAUUAG